Molecule: ribosomal RNA, 451 nt
Filed under: uncultured bacterium
Lineage: Bacteria
Description: bacterial SSU rRNA
Rfam family: Bacterial small subunit ribosomal RNA
Source: RNAcentral
UCAAGAAACUUCCACAAUGGGCGAAAGCCUGAUGGAGCGACGUCGCGUGAUGGACGAAGUGCUUCGGCACGUAAACAUCUUUUAUGUGGGAUGAAAUUAUUGACAGUACCACAUGAAUAAGGGGCUCCUAACUCUGUGCCAGCAGGAGCGGUAAUACAGAGGCCCCAAGCGUUAUCCGGAAUCACUGGGCGUAAAGGGUGUCGAGGCGGUUGUAUUAGUCGUUCGUAAAAUCUACGAGCUUAACUUGUAGGCGGCGAACGAAACGGUACGACUUGAGGUUUGGAGAGGUGCGUGGAACUCACGGUGUAGGGGUGAAAUCCGUUGAUAUCGUGGGGAACACCAAAGGCGAAGGCAGCGCACUGGGCCAAAAUCUGACGCUCACACACGAAGGCUAGGGUAGCGAAGAGGAUUAGAUACCCCGGUAGUCCCUGAGCGGGCUGGCAAGGCGCAU